Molecule: long non-coding RNA, 1173 nt
Filed under: Anser brachyrhynchus (Pink-footed goose)
Lineage: Eukaryota; Metazoa; Chordata; Aves; Anseriformes; Anatidae
Description: lncRNA (ENSABRG00000014294.1)
Source: RNAcentral
UCCUGGGGGAAAAGCAGCGCUUUUCCUACAGCGGAUCUCCCGUUUGACGAAGAGCUUUGGGAAUGCAAUUCCGCCUCGAAGACCGAGGGCUCAAGGGCGGCUACUGCUCCCGGUCCGCAAUUCAUUCGCUAUCGCCCCCCUCGGAGCCCAACUCCCCGCACCCCCGGCGCCGAGCCCGCACCGCCGGGGGGAUGCGCGGCACCCGCGGCACCCCACGUGCGGGGCAAGGCUGGCGGGGCGCGGCGGACACACGCACACCCGGGGCUCGCACACGCACACCCGCGGCUCGCACACGCACACCCGGGGCUCGCACGCCACCUACCCCGCCGCGGCCACCGGCAGCGCCGAGCCGAGCCGAGCCGGGCAGCGCCGAGCCCAGAGGAGGCGGGCGGGCGGCGGCUGCGGCACGCUGGGAGUUGUAGUCCGCAGCCGGGGGGAGCCGGGGGGGGGGGCCUGGCCUGGCAGCCCCCCCUUUCCGCACACCCGCCUGGUUCCCCAGAGGAAGCGGUGUGCAUCCCUCAGGGAUGCCCGCUGCGGGUGUCAGCACGCACGGGGUGGUGUUCCCCUAAGCAGCUGGGUGGUAACGAUGCUUUCACGAAUGGUCACGGCGUGGCGAGGGGUGAGACCUGGAGAAACGUUCUCAGCGCUGCCAGGCUUGCAGAGAAAUCUCAGGGAAAUAUCAGGCUCGCCACCCGCCGUUACGCGCUUUGUGUGGCAGGCAUAAAGGGAACAUUAAAAACCCUGCUGCCAAAAGACACGGUAAAAAUAGUGGCCGGUUGGCGUGGAGCUUUGCUGACUUUUCUUGUCAGUGCCUUCUCUGAAGUGAUGAACUGGGAUGUGAAAAUAAACUGUGGAGCUGAGAUGAAGAUUUAUCGGAGGAGACCGGGCUCUGGGGGGUGUGGAAGGAGGGACUUUGGGUGUGGAGCCGAAAUGAGGGGGUCCAUAGGAAGAGGAGGAGAGCAGCAUCAGCAUCCCUGGCUAGCGGGGAGGAAAGCAGGGGCAGAAGUGGGAAAGCAAGCUGGGAAGAAACCACCCCAGUCAGGAAAGAGGACAGACUGUGUCAAGGAGUUGUCCCAGCAUGAGGGAACAGGGCAAUUCUGUGUAAUGACUCUGCCAGUUCUGAAACACUCUAUUAGGGAAAGAAACCAAUGUUUUGAGGACAAAUCCAGAUGA